This is an RNA transcript of Culicoides brevitarsis, 1904 nucleotides long. It is a transcript of the gene named deubiquitinase DESI2-like, with no coding region annotated. NCBI's taxonomy places the organism in Eukaryota, Metazoa, Arthropoda, Insecta, Diptera, Ceratopogonidae. The transcript has 7 exons. The record is from RefSeq and is a predicted model, not a curated record.
CUCUCUCACAAAUUUUGAUAAAUUUUAAUUAAAAGUGCAAUUUUUUUUGUUAUAUUUGUCAUAAAAAAUAAAUUUAGUGUAUAAUUUCUUACAAACUAUUCAUUAAAAAUUGAUUUUUUGUUUGAAAUGACUUCUCAUAGUCAAGUAUUUUUGUGGGUUGAGCCCGUAACUGAAGAUGAAAAAGCUUUAACCAACAUGUACAAUCACACGUCAAUUUGUGUUCAAUUUGAAGAUGGGCUGAUGUAUUUGUUUUCGUAUAAUGAACAUGGAUUGUUGGUAUCUCCAAUGACCGAAACACCUUCGAAUCUGAGAGAAAAUAUUUUUUUGGGAACAACAACCAAAACCUUGGUACAAAUUAUUGAACAUACAGAGCAAUUAUUGAAUGGAAAAUUCAAAAAAUACAAUGCCUUGACUGCGAAUUGCAAUCACUUUAGCAACCAUUUAUGCAAAUUUCUCUGCGACAAAUCCAUUCCUCAAAAACACGUUGAUCAAGCUUUAAAUCAUACAGUCGCCAGCACAAUCGUCAUGGGGGGCAUUGUCGGAGUUGGUGCUGUUGUUGUCGGAAUUGCCAAAGUUGCUGCUGUAGUCUUCAGAGCUUUAAGACACUAAUUUUUUUUUUUUAAAUAAAAUUUUUUUUUUUCCAUCAAAUUUAAAAUUUAUUUGUAUUAGUAAAAAAAUCUCUUUGCUCAAAAGAGAGCAAAACGAGAAUGACUUUUACACACAAAUGCAAAUUUUGUGUCAGUCUUGGAUCAAAACCACGAUGAGCGACGUCGAAAUACAUUUCGAGCCGGUAAAUGACGGCAAAAAUCAACUUCCUUUCGUAAAAGUCGACGACAAAGUCUUCGUUCAUGAUAACAAUGCUUUGCAUACUAUUCCAGCGAAAAGCUUUCCGAAACGGAAUUCAUGGGAAAAAGUUGGAAAAAGUCUCUUCUCAGCUGGCAACGCGAUGAUCAAAGGAUAUCAAUUGAUGGAAAAUCGAAAAAAUCUUAAUCCAACUGAAUUCGCGAAGGAGUUUCUGAAUAUUUUGACAGAAACAAAAAUCGAUCUUGAAUGGCAGGAUUGGAAAAAUGUAGCAGUUGACAUUAAAGAUGUGCUGCUCAAAAGUAGCGAUUGUUCAAGAGGCUGUUUUCAAUCAUCAGGCAAUUUUUUGAAGUAACAUGUCAAGAGAGAUAUUUUUUUGCAUUUGUAUUGAGAGAGCGGCAAAAUAUUUGAGUGUAAUGAAAUUGGCGAUUUUUUAUGUAUUUCACAAUAAAAGUUACUCGCGAGCCGUCAAGAAACGAAAAAAAAUUGCGUCUAAUAUUUUUUUGAGUUUUUUUUUAAUUAAUUAUGUCUCCUCGGAAUAAGGUUUAUUUGUUGGUUGAGCCUGCAGGAGAUGGCAGUUGUUCAAGUAUUUUUAAACAUACGUCGGUUUUUGUGGAAUUUGAAGAUGGAUUGAAAUAUGAAUUUUCUUACAACGAGAAUGGCGUGAGAUAUUCUGCAUUUGAUGAAAUGCCUUCCGAUAGAGACGAAAUCAUCUACAAAGGAGAAACAGACAAAACCUUAUUACAAAUUAUUGAAGAAACUCAGAAGAUGGUAGAAACCAAGUUCAAGGAAUAUGAAACACUUUACCACAAUUGCAAUCAUUUCAGUGAUGCACUUUUGCAAUUUUUGUGCAAAGAAAAAAUUCCUACGUCUUUGCGACAGUCCUCCAAUUACAUGACGGGCGCUUAUGUUGGAGCUCUUGCAGUUGGAACUGUACUUGGCGGUCCCAUUGGUUUGGUAGCUGCGCAUGUUUUUUCAUCUCCUGUUCUCUUAAUGUAUCCAAAAUAUAAAGCUAAAAAAUAAAUAAAAUAAAAAUAAAUAAAUAAUUUUUUAAAAUUAUUUUUGGAAAAAAAAUUUUUUUAGGAGGAAAAAUUAAAUAUCUU